RNAcentral lists this unclassified non-coding RNA (333 nucleotides) under Hevea brasiliensis (rubber tree). Lineage: Eukaryota; Viridiplantae; Streptophyta; Magnoliopsida; Malpighiales; Euphorbiaceae. The record is from RNAcentral.
GGCAAAGAGCAUCACAUAAUAGUGAUUAUGCUACUAAAGAAGAACGAGGUGAAAGUAGAUCCACCAAAUUGGUGCUAACAACAAUGACUAAAGUGACUAAACACAGUAUUAAAUUAGGAAAGAAACGUUAAACCUAGGAUAACGCAGCGCGAAGUAACAAAAAGAUAAUCAGAAAAUCUAAAGAAGAAAGAAUGAUAGUCAAACAACAAGAUAGCAUCAUAAUCAAAUGCUCAGUUUUUUCACAUAGCACGCCAGCAUCCAUAAAGCAUGAAAACGAUAGCCAUGGCUCAAGUUUAAUUGGAAAUCUCACCUCAGCCACAGUGAACAACGCCG